UUGGAGUCUGCAACUCGACUCCAUGAAGUCGGAAUCGCUAGUAAUCGCGGAUCAGAAUGCCGCGGUGAAUACGUUCCCGGGCCUUGUACACACCGCCCGUCACACCAUGGGAGUGGGUUGCAAAAGAAGUAGGUAGCUUAACCUUCGGGAGGGCGCUUACCACUUUGUGAUUCAUGACUGGGGUGAAGUCGUAACAAGGUAACCGUAGGGGAACCUGCGGUUGGAUCACCUCCUUACCU
Molecule: ribosomal RNA, 239 nt
Filed under: Plesiomonas shigelloides
Lineage: Bacteria; Pseudomonadati; Pseudomonadota; Gammaproteobacteria; Enterobacterales; Enterobacteriaceae
Description: partial 16S ribosomal RNA
Rfam family: Bacterial small subunit ribosomal RNA
Source: RNAcentral